Long non-coding RNA from Sinocyclocheilus grahami, 172 nucleotides. RefSeq lists it as uncharacterized. The record is from RefSeq and is a predicted model, not a curated record. NCBI's taxonomy places the organism in Eukaryota, Metazoa, Chordata, Actinopteri, Cypriniformes, Cyprinidae. The transcript is spliced from 3 exons.
ACUCAAAUAUUCCAUUAGUUAAAGUUGUUUUUUUAAUCACUGAUUGUAAACUACAUUGGCACAAUCAUCAGAGAUGGAGCAGUCAGAAGUAGUUAUGUGUGUAAAUGCAAUGCAAAACAUUGGUAUUUGUUUCCAUCACUUUUAGGCGCUCCGUAGAGCACUAGUAAUCCAG